RNAcentral lists this transfer RNA (67 nucleotides) under Brachymeles boulengeri boulengeri. Its description in RNAcentral is "tRNA-Lys". It matches the Rfam family "tRNA". Rfam says of the family: Transfer RNA (tRNA) molecules are approximately 80 nucleotides in length. Their secondary structure includes four short double-helical elements and three loops (D, anti-codon, and T loops). Further hydrogen bonds mediate the characteristic L-shaped molecular structure. tRNAs have two regions of fundamental functional importance: the anti-codon, which is responsible for specific mRNA codon recognition, and the 3' end, to which the tRNAs corresponding amino acid is attached (by aminoacyl-tRNA synthetases). tRNAs cope with the degeneracy of the genetic code in two manners: having more than one tRNA (with a specific anti-codon) for a particular amino acid; and 'wobble' base-pairing, i.e. permitting non-standard base-pairing at the 3rd anti-codon position. Lineage: Eukaryota; Metazoa; Chordata; Lepidosauria; Squamata; Scincidae. The record is from RNAcentral.
CAUUAAGAAGCUUUUAUAGCACUAGCCUUUUAAGCUUGGGAGGGGGAUUUUAAUCCCCCUUAAUGAA